CCUACGGGAGGCAGCAGUGGGGAAUAUUGCACAAUGGGGGAAACCCUGAUGCAGCGACGCCGCGUGAGUGAAGAAGUAUCUCGGUACGUAAAGCUCUAUCAGCAGGGAAGAAAAUGACGGUACCUGACUAAGAAGCCCCGGCUAACUACGUGCCAGCAGCCGCGGUAAUACGUAGGGGGCAAGCGUUAUCCGGAUUUACUGGGGGUAAAGGGAGCGUAGACGGCGCUGCAAGUCCGGAGUGAAAGCACAUGGCUUAACCAUGGUACUGCUUUGGAAACUGUAGAGCUUGAGUGCGGGAGAGGCAGGCGGAAUUCCUGGUGUAGCGGUGAAAUGCGUAGAUAGUAGGAUGAACACCAGCGGCGAAGGCGGCCUGCUGGACCGUAACUGACGUUGAGGCUCGAAAGCGUGGGGAGCAAACAGGAUUAGAUACCCCAGUAGUC
Molecule: ribosomal RNA, 440 nt
Filed under: uncultured bacterium
Lineage: Bacteria
Description: partial 16S ribosomal RNA
Rfam family: Bacterial small subunit ribosomal RNA
Source: RNAcentral